UAAGGAUGUGAUUGAAUUCCCAUU
Molecule: non-coding RNA, 24 nt
Filed under: Cricetulus griseus (Chinese hamster)
Lineage: Eukaryota; Metazoa; Chordata; Mammalia; Rodentia; Cricetidae
Source: RNAcentral